CAGGGGAUUGCAGUGGCAAAGCUAGGCUAGGUCUUGGAGGCUGGUGUAAGGCGAUGUGGGUGAAGGCAGGAGGCUGAUGGAAAGACUGGGGGGAAGAAAAGCCGAAAUGGAUUCACGGUGCCUUGGAUGAAGGACGAGAGGGGAACUGCAAGCUCCUUCAACUGGUUCUGUCCGGUGAGAAGUGAUCAAGCUUGGGCUGACAAGAGGCUCAGGGAGCCCUCACGUUCUUUCGCUUUUUUACCUGCCAAUCAAACUGCUACAAGACAACACCCUGAUCUGGCAUGGACAUUCAUUGCAGUCACCUGGAGUCACGGAAAUGACCAUGAUUGCCUGAACUUUCAUGACUUCUGUGGAUAACUGUGGUUGCAGAAAAGAGAAAACCUGGACCGUGAGGGACAUUUCACUCCCUGGGCUUUGGUACAUGGCCUCCCUACAGCGUUGGCUCAGCUCUAGCUACUUGGAAGGUCGUGGCAAUGCUGUCUCAGAAUGUCCGUUUCUAGAGUACAGAGAAGAAAUUCUAGCUUGACGUCCACGUGCAUUUGUCUGUGUUUCAGAGGAAAUUCCAAUUCUAAACUCUUGGAAGAAACAAUUUCUCGGCAUGCUGAAGAGAAUUGCUGUUUUUUGGCACCUGAAACACUUUUACCCAAGGGUUCUGAUUAUUUAAAUAAUUGGUAUGCUAUAAAUAUUCUGGUUGACAGAAAUGUGGUUUAAUGUAGAUGAGUUGUAAAAACAUGAGACAAACAUGC
This 746-nucleotide long non-coding RNA is filed under the name Homo sapiens (human). RNAcentral describes it as "non-protein coding SOX2-OT:49". The stretch from base 14 to 289 matches the Rfam family "SOX2 overlapping transcript exon 3". Lineage: Eukaryota; Metazoa; Chordata; Mammalia; Primates; Hominidae. The record is from RNAcentral.